AUAUUCCGAAUAAAACGCAGUCAAACUUGUAACGCAAAUCCGAAAUCUUGACAUUCUUGACUAUAAUAUUUGUCUAAAAUACAUCAUAUUUUAUUUUCCUCCAAAUGCAAUGCAUAAUAAAAUCAAACAGUUGUGUUGCAUUUUAAAACACCUUUAGAAAUUUAUGUGCCACGGUUUAAACGGUGACAUUUUCAACCGGAAUAAUUCGAAGGGCUUUAUUUUUACUAUGGAUACUUUGAAUAAACGAUAACGUAACGAGGAUGAAUAGUAUAGUACUUAUUACUUAUAAGUGAAUUGCGAUUAAAAACAAUUUUUCUAGAUCGUUAAAUUAUUACACUCAGACAUCGGCUCAGAUA
Molecule: non-coding RNA, 356 nt
Organism: Cinara cedri
Lineage: Eukaryota; Metazoa; Arthropoda; Insecta; Hemiptera; Aphididae
Source: the annotation of a GenBank genome assembly